RNAcentral lists this ribosomal RNA (497 nucleotides) under uncultured bacterium. RNAcentral describes it as "partial 16S ribosomal RNA". It matches the Rfam family "Bacterial small subunit ribosomal RNA", at positions 28 to 507 of the family's 1533-position model. The record is from RNAcentral.
GAUGAACGCUGGCGGCGUGCCUAAUACAUGCAAGUCGAGCGAACGGACGAGAAGCUUGCUUCUCUGAUGUUAGCGGCGGACGGGUGAGUAACACGUGGAUAACCUACCUAUAAGACUGGGAUAACUUCGGGAAACCGGAGCUAAUACCGGAUAAUAUUUUGAACCGCAUGGUUCAAAAGUGAAAGACGGUCUUGCUGUCACUUAUAGAUGGAUCCGCGCUGCAUUAGCUAGUUGGUAAGGUAACGGCUUACCAAGGCAACGAUGCAUAGCCGACCUGAGAGGGUGAUCGGCCACACUGGAACUUAGACACGGUCCAGACUCCUACGGGAGGCAGCAGUAGGGAAUCUUCCGCAAAGGGCGAAAGCCUGACGGAGCAACGCCGCGUGAGUGAUGAAGGUCUUCGGAUCGUAAAACUCUGUUAUUAGGGAAGAACAUAUGUGUAAGUAACUGUGCACAUCUUGACGGUACCUAAUCAGAAAGCCACGGCUAACUACGUG